RNAcentral lists this ribosomal RNA (468 nucleotides) under uncultured bacterium. RNAcentral's name for it is "partial 16S ribosomal RNA". It matches the Rfam family "Bacterial small subunit ribosomal RNA", at positions 28 to 507 of the family's 1533-position model. The record is from RNAcentral.
GAUGAACGCUGGCGGCGUGCUUAAUACAUGCAAGUCGAACGGACAGGCCCUGCUCUUGUGGGGUGCUCGAUUGGCGAACGGGUGAGUAACACGUGAGUAUCCUGCCCUUGACUUUCGGAUAACAUCUGGAAACUCGGGCUCAUACCCGAUAGGAUCUCCUGCUGCAUGGUGGGGGUUGGAAAGUUUCGGCGGUUGGGGCUGGACUCGCGGCUUAUCCGCUUGUUGGUGGGGUAGUGGAUUACCAAGGCUUUGACGGGUAGCCGGCCUGGGAGUGUGACCGGGCACAUUGGGACUGAGGUACGACCCAGACUGCAACGUGAGGCAGCAGUGGGGAAUAUUGCACAAUGGGCGGAAGCCUGAUGCAGCGACGCCGCGUGCGGGAUGACGGCCUUCGGGGUGGAAACCGCUUGCGCCUGUGACGAAGCGUGAGUGACGGUAAUGGGUAAAGAAGCACCGGCUAACUACGUG